AGGACACUGGUGUCAGGUUACCGAACCUAGUUCUUCAACUCAACAUUUUUACUAUCACUCUUAUUAGCCCUAGAUUCUAGAUUUUGCACUUGGCUUUUAAGAUCACUCACUCCCUAGACAGCUCGUCCUUCUCAUUGUUAAUUAUCUCAGACUCAUCAAUGAAGUCUAACAAUAAUUCAGACAACCUUUCUUUAGACAAUAAUUUGAUCUUGUCUUUUUGAGAUGAAGCACACUUACC
RNAcentral lists this long non-coding RNA (238 nucleotides) under Nicotiana benthamiana. RNAcentral describes it as "long non-coding RNA (NBEN_LNC042462)". The record is from RNAcentral. Lineage: Eukaryota; Viridiplantae; Streptophyta; Magnoliopsida; Solanales; Solanaceae.